Molecule: ribosomal RNA, 261 nt
Filed under: uncultured bacterium
Lineage: Bacteria
Description: partial 16S ribosomal RNA
Rfam family: Bacterial small subunit ribosomal RNA
Source: RNAcentral
GUCCACGCCGUAACGAUGGGUGCUAGACGUUGGCGAGCUUGCUCGUCAGUGUCGCAGCUAACGCGUUAACCACCCGCCUGGGAGUACGGCCGCAAGGUUGAAACUCAAAGGAAUUGACGGGCCCGCACAAGCGGUGGAGCAUGUGGUUCAAUUCGACGCAACGCGCAGAACCUUACCAGCCCCUUGACAUGUGACUCGCCGGGACCAGAGACGGUCCCUUCGGUUCGGCCGGAGUCAACACAGGUGCUGCAUGGCUGUCGU